This 465-nucleotide ribosomal RNA is filed under the name Vreelandella stevensii. RNAcentral's name for it is "partial 16S ribosomal RNA". It matches the Rfam family "Bacterial small subunit ribosomal RNA", at positions 338 to 795 of the family's 1533-position model. The record is from RNAcentral. Lineage: Bacteria; Pseudomonadati; Pseudomonadota; Gammaproteobacteria; Oceanospirillales; Halomonadaceae.
CCUACGGGAGGCAGCAGUGGGGAAUAUUGGACAAUGGGCGAAAGCCUGAUCCAGCCAUGCCGCGUGUGUGAAGAAGGCCUUCGGGUUGUAAAGCACUUUCAGUGGGGAAGAAAGCCUUGGGGCUAAUACCCUCGAGGAAGGACAUCACCCACAGAAGAAGCACCGGCUAACUCCGUGCCAGCAGCCGCGGUAAUACGGAGGGUGCGGGCGUUAAUCGGAAUUACUGGGCGUAAAGCGCGCGUAGGCGGUCUGAUAAGCCGGUUGUGAAAGCCCCGGGCUCAACCUGGGAACGGCAUCCGGAACUGUCAGGCUAGAGUGCAGGAGAGGAAGGUAGAAUUCCCGGUGUAGCGGUGAAAUGCGUAGAGAUCGGGAGGAAUACCAGUGGCGAAGGCGGCCUUCUGGACUGACACUGACGCUGAGGUGCGAAAGCGUGGGUAGCAAACAGGAUUAGAUACCCGUGUAGUC